Molecule: ribosomal RNA, 1337 nt
Filed under: uncultured bacterium
Lineage: Bacteria
Description: bacterial SSU rRNA
Rfam family: Bacterial small subunit ribosomal RNA
Source: RNAcentral
GACGAACGCUGGCGGCGUGCUUAACACAUGCAAGUCGAACGGAAAGGCCCUUCGGGGUACUCGAGUGGCGAACGGGUGAGUAACACGUGGGUGAUCUGCCCUGCACUUUGGGAUAAGCCUGGGAAACUGGGUCUAAUACCGAAUAGGACCACGCGCUUCAUGGUGUGUGGUGGAAAGCUUUUGCGGUGUGGGAUGGGCCCGCGGCCUAUCAGCUUGUUGGUGGGGUAAUGGCCUACCAAGGCGACGACGGGUAGCCGGCCUGAGAGGGUGACCGGCCACACUGGGACUGAGAUACGGCCCAGACUCCUACGGGAGGCAGCAGUGGGGAAUAUUGCACAAUGGGCGCAAGCCUGAUGCAGCGACGCCGCGUGAGGGAUGACGGCCUUCGGGUUGUAAACCUCUUUCAAUAGGGACGAAGCGCAAGUGACGGUACCUAUAGAAGAAGCACCGGCCAACUACGUGCCAGCAGCCGCGGUAAUACGUAGGGUGCGAGCGUUGUCCGGGAUUACUGGGCGUAAAGAGCUCGUAGGUGGUUUGUCGCGUUGUUCGUGAAAACUCACAGCUUAACUGUGGGCGUGCGGGCGAUACGGGCAGACUAGAGUACUGCAGGGGAGACUGGAAUUCCUGGUGUAGCGGUGGAAUGCGCAGAUAUCAGGAGGAACACCGGUGGCGAAGGCGGGUCUCUGGGCAGUAACUGACGCUGAGGAGCGAAAGCGUGGGGAGCGAACAGGAUUAGAUACCCUGGUAGUCCACGCCGUAAACGGUGGGUACUAGGUGUGGGUUCCUUCCUUGGGAUCCGUGCCGUAGCUAACGCAUUAAGUACCCCGCCUGGGGAGUACGGCCGCAAGGCUAAAACUCAAAGGAAUUGACGGGGGCCCGCACAAGCGGCGGAGCAUGUGGAUUAAUUCGAUGCAACGCGAAGAACCUUACCUGGGUUUGACAUGCACAGGACGCCGGCAGAGAUGUCGGUUCCCUUGUGGCCUGUGUGCAGGUGGUGCAUGGCUGUCGUCAGCUCGUGUCGUGAGAUGUUGGGUUAAGUCCCGCAACGAGCGCAACCCUUGUCCUAUGUUGCCAGCGGGUUAUGCCGGGGACUCGUAGGAGACUGCCGGGGUCAACUCGGAGGAAGGUGGGGAUGACGUCAAGUCAUCAUGCCCCUUAUGUCCAGGGCUUCACACAUGCUACAAUGGCCGGUACAAAGGGCUGCGAUGCCGUGAGGUGGAGCGAAUCCUUUCAAAGCCGGUCUCAGUUCGGAUCGGGGUCUGCAACUCGACCCCGUGAAGUCGGAGUCGCUAGUAAUCGCAGAUCAGCAACGCUGCGGUGAAUACGUUCCCGGGCCU